UACGUAGGUGGCGAGCGUUAUCCGGAUUUAUUGGGCGUAAAGCGUGCGCAGGCGGCUUGCUAAGUCUAAGAUUAAAGCCCAGAGCUUAACUCUGGUUCGUCUUAGAAACUGACAGGCUUGAGUAUGGUAGAGGCAAAUGGAAUUCCUAGUGUAGCGGUGGAAUGCGUAGAUAUUAGGAGGAACACCAGUGGCGAAGGCGAUUUGCUGGGCCAUCACUGACGCUCAUGCACGAAAGCGUGGGGAGCAAA
This 248-nucleotide ribosomal RNA is filed under the name uncultured Muribaculaceae bacterium. Its description in RNAcentral is "partial 16S ribosomal RNA". It matches the Rfam family "Bacterial small subunit ribosomal RNA", at positions 524 to 772 of the family's 1533-position model. The record is from RNAcentral. Lineage: Bacteria; Pseudomonadati; Bacteroidota; Bacteroidia; Bacteroidales; Muribaculaceae.